This 160-nucleotide ribosomal RNA is filed under the name uncultured Streptococcus sp. RNAcentral's name for it is "partial 16S ribosomal RNA". It matches the Rfam family "Bacterial small subunit ribosomal RNA", at positions 355 to 506 of the family's 1533-position model. Lineage: Bacteria; Bacillati; Bacillota; Bacilli; Lactobacillales; Streptococcaceae. The record is from RNAcentral.
UAGGGAAUCUUCGGCAAUGGGGGCAACCCUGACCGAGCAACGCCGCGUGAGUGAAGAAGGUUUUCGGAUCGUAAAGCUCUGUUGUAAGAGAAGAAUGUGUGUGAGAGUGGAAAGUUCACACAGUGACGGUAACUUACCAGAAAGGGACGGCUAACUACGU